Molecule: ribosomal RNA, 442 nt
Filed under: uncultured bacterium
Lineage: Bacteria
Description: partial 16S ribosomal RNA
Rfam family: Bacterial small subunit ribosomal RNA
Source: RNAcentral
CCUACGGGAGGCAGCAGUGGGGAAUAUUGCGCAAUGGGCGCAAGCCUGAUCCAGCAACGCCGCGUGAGGGAAGAAGGCUUUCGGGUUGUAAAGCUCUUUUAAGAGGGAAGAGCAAAAGACGGUACCUCUUGAAUAAGCCAGGCAUAACUACGUGCCAGCGGCCGCGGUAAUACGUAGGUGGCAGGCGUUGUCCGGAUUAACUGGGUGUAAAGGGCGUGCAGCCGGGAAGACAAGUCGGAUGUGAAAUCCCGGGGCUCAACCGCGGAACUGCAUUUGAAACUGUUUUGCUUGAGUACAGGAGAGGUCAUCGGAAUUCCUUGUGUAGCGGUGAAAUGCGUAGAUAUAAGGAAGAACACCAGUGGCGAAGGCGGAUGACUGGACGGCAACUGACGGUGAGGCGCGAAAGCGUGGGGAGCAAACAGGAUUAGAUACCCUGGUAGUC